This is a long non-coding RNA of Oncorhynchus tshawytscha (Chinook salmon), 952 nucleotides long. The record is from Ensembl. Lineage: Eukaryota; Metazoa; Chordata; Actinopteri; Salmoniformes; Salmonidae.
UCUCUGGCUGGGUGGAGGACUCUCAGUUAGACUGGACAGGUCUCUGGCUGGGUGGAGGACUCUCAGUUAGACUGGACAGGCCUCUGGCUGGGUGGAGGACUCUCAGUUAGACUGGACAGGCUGGGUGGAGGACUCUCAGUUAGACUGGACAGGUCUAUGGCUGGGUGGAGGACUCUCAGUUAGACUGGACAGGUCUCUGGCUGGGUGGAGGACUCUCAGUUAGACUGGACAGGUCUCUGGCUGGGUGGAGGACUCUCAGUUAGACUGGACAGGCCUCUGGCUGGGUGGAGGACUCUCAGUUAGACUGGACAGGCCUCUGGCUGGGUGGAGGACUCUCAGUUAGACUGGACAGGUCUCUGGCUGGUUGGCUGGGUGGAGGACUCUCAGUUAGACUGGACAGGUCUCUGGCUGGGUGGAGGACUCUCAGUUAGACUGGACAGGUCUCUGGCUGGGUGGAGGACUCUCAGUUAGACUGGACAGGCAUCUGGCUGGGUGGAGGACUCUCAGUUAGACUGGACAGGCUGGGUGGAGGACUCUCAGUUAGACUGGACAGGCUGGGUGGAGGACUCUCAGUUAGACUGGACAGGUCUCUGGCUGGGUGGAGGACUCUCAGUUAGACUGGACAGGUCUCUGGCUGGGUGGAGGACUCUCAGUUAGACUGGACAGGCCUCUGGCUGGCUGGGUGGAGGACUCUCAGACUGGACAGGCCUCUGGCUGGGUGGAGGACUCUCAGUUAGACUGGACAGGUCUCUGGCUGGGUGGAGGACUCUCAGUUAGACUGGACAGGUCUCUGGCUGGGUGGAGGACUCUCAGUUAGACUGGACAGGCCUCUGGCUGGGUGGAGGACUCUCAGUUAGACUGGACAGGCUGGGUGGAGGACUCUCAGUUAGACUGGACAGGUCUCUGGCUGGGUGGAGGACUCUCAGUUAGACUGGACAGGUCUCUGGCUGGG